UUUCACUAAAGGCGUCAUAUCAUUUUUGUGCUUGUGUUUGACCCCUCUUUUCGGAGAGCGCGUGUCUUCACACACAAUUACCUUGGCGUCUGAAAGCAACGAACGUGACCGUAACCUCUUGUUGCCUUCUUUUCUUUAUUGAAUGCUGUUUCAUUCGUUUUACGAGUGCUCAGUAUAUGGAGGCUUUUUUUACCAACAACUAGAGGGACCGCUGUUACUUUCUUUAAACCAGAGGAAGGUUGCGGCAAUAACAGGUCUGUGAUGCCCUUAGAUGUUCCGGGCUGCACACGUGAUACAUUGAUUACUUCAGUGAGUAUCUACGUUUUAACUGCGUGGCUUUACAAAUUUUUAUUUUCUUCGGAAGGUAAUUUUUUGUUUGCCGCCUCAACCUGCUUCGAAAGUAUGUGGGUAACCAAUUAGAAGUAGUGAUUUCCUUUUUUUUAUAAGCACACUUAUAUGGAGCAUCAUCACCCGGCAUACCUUGUUGUAUGUUUUUGUGUGUGUUGUUUGCUUUUCCAUGUGCUUUUGUCAAUUCAUAGUGGGGACAGACCAUUGUUAAUUGUUGGUCUCGGUCUUAACUAGGAAUGCCUUGUACGAGUUUUUGGUUCAACAAACCACUCGGAAUACGUCCCUGCCCUUUGUACACACCGCCCGUCGCUCUUACCGAUGGAUUAUAUUAUGAGUAGGCAGGACUGUUUCUUCUAUAGGAAAUGCCCGCGAAUAAUGGAUCUAAA
This 734-nucleotide ribosomal RNA is filed under the name Elphidium sp. S13. Its description in RNAcentral is "SSU rRNA". It matches the Rfam family "Eukaryotic small subunit ribosomal RNA", at positions 1313 to 1777 of the family's 1831-position model. The record is from RNAcentral. Lineage: Eukaryota; Foraminifera; Rotaliida; Elphidiidae.